GGGGAUUUAGCUCAGUGGUUAGAGCGCUGGCCUAGCAAGCGCAAGGCCCUGGGUUCGGUCCCCAGCUCCA
This 70-nucleotide transfer RNA is filed under the name Rattus norvegicus (Norway rat). It matches the Rfam family "tRNA". From Rfam's summary of the family: Transfer RNA (tRNA) molecules are approximately 80 nucleotides in length. Their secondary structure includes four short double-helical elements and three loops (D, anti-codon, and T loops). Lineage: Eukaryota; Metazoa; Chordata; Mammalia; Rodentia; Muridae. The record is from Rfam by way of RNAcentral.